This is an RNA transcript of Camelina sativa (false flax), 1312 nucleotides long. It is a transcript of the gene named trihelix transcription factor ENAP1, with no coding region annotated. NCBI's taxonomy places the organism in Eukaryota, Viridiplantae, Streptophyta, Magnoliopsida, Brassicales, Brassicaceae. The record is from RefSeq and is a predicted model, not a curated record.
AGAAAGAAGAUAAUCGCCGUUGCUGACGUCACCGCCGGUAAUCAAAAUCGUCUUUUAACCGUAAUUUUCUCUUUUACUCUCUCUCUCUCUCUUCUUUACCCAAAAACAAUCCGAUCCAACAAAUCACAAAAAAGCUCUUAUCCUAAGCCUCAAUCCUCCACCGCGCACGUUAGCCUCCCCCUCUCCGAGAUGGAGACGACGCCGGAGAUUCACCCGAAGCCACACAACCAGAGCGGGUCUAACCGUUUACCGGCGGGGAGAGAGGAUUGGUGGAGCGAGGACGCUACAGCGACGUUGAUCGAAGCUUGGGGAGAUCGUUACGUCAAUCUCAACCGUGGCAAUCUCCGUCAAAACGAUUGGAAAGAAGUCGCCGACGCCGUUAACGCUAGCCACGGUAACGGCCGGCCUAAGACAGACGUGCAGUGCAAAAACCGGAUCGAUACGUUGAAGAAGAAGUACAAGACUGAGAAGGCGAAGCCUUCGUCGGCUUGGUGCUUCUUCGAUAGACUCGAUUUCUUGAUCGGUCCGGUUGUGAAGAAACCUUCCGGCGGCGUUGUUAAGUCGGCGUUGAUGAACCCUAAUUUGAAUCCUGCUGGAUCUAAAUCGACGGGAAGCUCUCUUGACGAUGACGACGAUGAUGAUGAUGAUGACGAUGAAGAUGAUGAUGAUGCGGGUGAUUGGGGUUUUGUGGUGAGGAAGCAUCGUAGAGUUGAAGAUGUAGAUCCGAGUGAAGGAUCGGCUUUUAGGGAGCUGGCGAGAUCGAUUCUUAAGUUAGGUGAAGCUUUUGAAAGAAUCGAAGGUAAGAAGCAGAGGAUGAUGAUUGAAUUGGAGAAGCAGAGGAUGGAAGUUGCAAAGGACCUUGAGUUACAACGCAUGAACAUGUUGAUGGAGAUGCAAUUGGAGCUUGAGAAGUCAAAACUUGGGAAACGAAGAGCUUCUUCAGCACUCUGGAAUCUCCAGGACAAGACUCUUGUGACCUGAGGUAGAAGAGGUGACACAUGAGGCUGAAUUAUUGGAGCCUCAAAAAGGAACAUCGCAGAAGCAUAUCCAUCAAUGUUUCAUGUUUGGUAGAAUUUGGGGAUGCAUAAGCAUGUGCUCUCCUAUUCAUACCUGACUUACAAAGAAGCUUUGUAUCUAAAAAACCUCACUUUACUCUCCUUGGCCUACCACUUGGUCCAAAACUGAGAUAUACUUUAGAUUUUCGAAAAUGACUUGUAAGCAAAGUGCAAAUUACAGCUGAUAAAGAGAUAUGAUAGAGAGAUAAGGCCUAUACAAAAGGAGGCUGUCCAAGAUCAUACAAGUAAGCAUCAAG